GACGAACGCUGGCGGCGUGCUUAACACAUGCAAGUCGAACGGAAAGGCCCUGCUUUUGUGGGGUGCUCGAGUGGCGAACGGGUGAGUAACACGUGAGUAACCUGCCCUUGACUUUGGGAUAACUUCAGGAAACUGGGGCUAAUACCGGAUAGGAGCUCCUGCUGCAUGGUGGGGGUUGGAAAGUUUCGGCGGUUGGGGAUGGACUCGCGGCUUAUCAGCUUGUUGGUGGGGUAGUGGCUUACCAAGGCUUUGACGGGUAGCCGGCCUGAGAGGGUGACCGGCCACAUUGGGACUGAGAUACGGACCAGACUCCUACGGGAGGCAGCAGUGGGGAAUAUCGCACAAUGGGCGGAAGCCUGAUGCAGCAACGCCGCGUGCGGGAUGACGGCCUUCGGGUUGUAAACCGCUUUCGCCUGUGACGAAGCGUGAGUGACGGUAAUGGGUAAAGAAGCACCGGCUAACUACGUG
This 468-nucleotide ribosomal RNA is filed under the name uncultured bacterium. RNAcentral describes it as "partial 16S ribosomal RNA". It matches the Rfam family "Bacterial small subunit ribosomal RNA", at positions 28 to 507 of the family's 1533-position model. The record is from RNAcentral.